GAUGAGCAUGCGUCCCAUUAGCUAGUUGGUAAGGUAACGGCUUACCAAGGCUACGAUGGGUAGGGGUCCUGAGAGGGAGAUCCCCCACACUGGUACUGAGACACGGACCAGACUCCUACGGGAGGCAGCAGUGAGGAAUAUUGGACAAUGGGCGCAAGCCUGAUCCAGCCAUGCCGCGUGCAGGAUGACGGUCCUAUGGAUUGUAAACUGCUUUUAUACGAGAAGAAACAUCCCGACGUGUCGGGACUCGACGGUAUCGUAAGAAUAAGGAUCGGCUAACUCCGUGCCAGCAGCCGCGGUAAUACGGAGGAUCCAAGCGUUAUCCGGAAUCAUUGGGUUUAAAGGGUCCGUAGGCGGUUUAAUAAGUCAGUGGUGAAAGCCCAUCGCUCAACGGUGGAACGGCCAUUGAUACUGUUAGACUUGAAUUAUUAAGAAGUAACUAGAAUAUGUAGUGUAGCGGUGAAAUGCUUAGAGAUUACAUGGAAUACCAAUUGCGAAGGCAGGUUACUACUAAUGGAUUG
Molecule: ribosomal RNA, 521 nt
Filed under: uncultured bacterium
Lineage: Bacteria
Description: bacterial SSU rRNA
Rfam family: Bacterial small subunit ribosomal RNA
Source: RNAcentral